Molecule: transfer RNA, 68 nt
Filed under: Marmota monax (woodchuck)
Lineage: Eukaryota; Metazoa; Chordata; Mammalia; Rodentia; Sciuridae
Description: tRNA.Ala
Source: RNAcentral
GGAUGUGGCUCAAGUGGCAGCGUGCUUGCCUAGCAUGCAUGAGGCACUGGGUUCAAUUCUCAGCACCA